This is a non-coding RNA of Physeter macrocephalus (sperm whale), 73 nucleotides long. The record is from the annotation of a RefSeq genome assembly. NCBI's taxonomy places the organism in Eukaryota, Metazoa, Chordata, Mammalia, Artiodactyla, Physeteridae.
UCCCUGGUGGUCCAGUGGCUAAGACUCUGUGCUCGCAAUGCAAGAGGCCCAGGUUCGAUCCCUGGUCAGGGAA